CGAUGCAGAGGAAGCGGUCAUGUUGUGUAACUUCCGCUGUUCGCCGUCUCCCCUCUUGUAACCGGUUGUUGUCACAUUUCGCUCUAACGUCCUGAUGGCUGCGAGCUUUCGGUAUCUUUACUCCGUCUCCAGGACAGGCACUUUGGCUGCAGGCCAGCUGAGGUCCUUCAGUGUGUCUGCACCGAGGACUGGGUUCAGUAAGUACCAGUUCAGUUCCAGUAAGACCAGUAGCCAUAGUUUCAUGUAUUUAUCCUCAUUUAUUGCGGGUCCUCACACAUUUUCAUGUUUUAGUGACUUACUGAGGACUGUGUGCUCAUUUCCAUUCUUCUGCUUUUCAAAGGGAUUUUUCUGUUUCUCAGUGAGUAAUAUUGCAGCCGCCCACCAGAGGGCGCUGCUGUUCAUUCUGAGGGUUACCUGAGUUUGCAACAGAAUGAUGCCAGAUGGGAGGCAUGCUAGAGUAGAAUUAGUGGAAAUAAUCCAGACCAAAGUCUUAUUUAAUAU
Cyprinodon variegatus (sheepshead minnow) is the source of this 501-nucleotide long non-coding RNA. RefSeq lists it as uncharacterized. Lineage: Eukaryota; Metazoa; Chordata; Actinopteri; Cyprinodontiformes; Cyprinodontidae. The transcript is spliced from 3 exons. The record is from RefSeq and is a predicted model, not a curated record.